Molecule: long non-coding RNA, 238 nt
Filed under: Panax ginseng (ginseng)
Lineage: Eukaryota; Viridiplantae; Streptophyta; Magnoliopsida; Apiales; Araliaceae
Description: long non-coding RNA (PGIN_LNC005245)
Source: RNAcentral
UUAAAGAUAAGGGUAGAAUGAAAUAGAAUUAAAAAUAAUGGAUUAUAAUAAGGUUAUAGCCCAAUUAUUUUGAAUAGAGUCCAAGAGAAGUGGAUUUAAUGGGCUAAGGAGGUUAUAUUAUUUAAACAAGCCCAAUUAAUUAAUUAAGCAUGAGAACUUGUAGAUAAAUGAUUAAGGAUGAUUAAAUUAUUUAAUCUAGCCCAACAUAUUAUGUACGUGACAAGUAUUAUAAUGACGU